This 497-nucleotide ribosomal RNA is filed under the name uncultured bacterium. RNAcentral's name for it is "partial 16S ribosomal RNA". It matches the Rfam family "Bacterial small subunit ribosomal RNA", at positions 28 to 507 of the family's 1533-position model. The record is from RNAcentral.
GAUGAACGCUGGCGGCGUGCCUAAUACAUGCGAGUCGAGCGAACAGACGAGGAGCUUGCUCCUCUGACGUUAGCGGCGGACGGGUGAGUAACACGUGGAUAACCUACCUAUAAGACUGGGAUAACUUCGGGAAACCGGCGCUAAUACCGGAUAAUAUAUUGAACCGCAUGGUUCAAUAGUGAAAGACGGUUUUGCUGUCACUUAUAGAUGGAUCCGCGCCGCAUUAGCUAGUUGGUAAGGUAACGGCUUACCAAGGCAACGAUGCGUAGCCGACCUGAGAGGGUGAUCGGCCACACGGGAACUGAGACACGGUCCAGACUCCUACGGGAGGCAGCAGUAGGGAAUCUUCCGCAAUGGGCGAAAGCCUGACGGAGCAACGCCGCGUGAGUGAUGAAGGUCUUCGGAUCGUAAAACUCUGUUAUUAGGGAAGAACAAAUGUGUAAGUAACUAUGCACGUCUUGACGGUACCUAAUCAGAAAGCCACGGCUAACUACGUG